UACGUAAGGGGCGGGCGUUAUCCGGAAUUACUGGGCGUAAAGCGUGUGUAGGCGGUUUAGUGUGUGGGAUCUGAAAGCCCGGGGCUCAACUCCGGAUCCGGAUCCCAAACUGCUAGACUCGAGAGUAUCAGAGGAGAGCGGAAUUCCCGGUGUAGCGGUGAAAUGCGUAGAUAUCAGGAGGAACACCUAUGGCGAAGGCAGCUCGCUGGGACGUUACUGACGCUGAGACGCGAAAGCGUGGGGAGCAAACAGG
RNAcentral lists this ribosomal RNA (253 nucleotides) under uncultured bacterium. RNAcentral describes it as "partial 16S ribosomal RNA". It matches the Rfam family "Bacterial small subunit ribosomal RNA", at positions 524 to 776 of the family's 1533-position model. The record is from RNAcentral.